AAGAUACGCAGUCGUCGAUGAAAUAUGCAAAUUUCAUUCAUCCAGUUGUUGCAUCCAAGUCAUGCUUGAAGAGAUGAGGUUUGAAUUUUAGGGUUUCGUGGACAGGCUCCAAUGGCACAAAGAAGGAACCUUGUCGAUCGCUGAGGUGUAGGCGAGAUUCGGUUACUUUUGGAGGUUUGAAGUUGCGGCAACGUGUGAAAUUCUCCCCUUAUUAUGGUUUGAAUCGCCUAUGCUUUUCGAAUUUGUAAUUGGGUUUAGAGUUGGUCGCAACUUUCCAUUCUCAAAUGCCUGCGGUUGCGAGGUUUCAACAAACUCGAUCUUCUAAACCGCUCCCAUUAGCGUAUGAUCUCUCUCCUGUUAAUUUGAGUUCUCGCACGCAAUUGUUUUGAAGUUGUCGUUUGUGGCGUUUGUUCAUACCCAGUUGUUUGCCGCGGAGAGGAAGGCGCGGAGAGCUGCUGAUUCUGACGGAUUGGAGCUGACAGGAGAGGUGCUUUUGUGUAAGGAAGUGGUGCUUCAAGCUGCGAUUGCGGUAAGUUAGAGCGUAUUUUCCUCACCUCUUGAUUGAGUGUCUCAGUUAAUAUUGCAUGUGCUAAUUGAUUGUGCAGCAGCAGAAAGAAUAGUGAGACUGAGCCACUACAUUAGGUCUCUACUUUAGAAACGCUCACAUACAGAAAAAAAUAAUUGAAGGGAAGCUUAAAUGCUGUAAUGGGAUCUAACAGGGUCUAGGUCUGCAUUUGGUCAAUUUUCACAACUAUUUUUUCGCCCUUUUUUUGCCCUUUUUUUGCCCUUUUUCUGUGUAUAGGAAAGUAGUUUUGUGACGUGUUAACUAAUGCGAGGUUUGCAAAUCAGAGUCUUAACUAACAAGCCCACUUUUGAGUUUGUGUCUGAACGUUGACCCUGGGUGGGUAUUGCUGUAUUUCAGUCGCCGUGUACAAAUAUUCCUUCAGACCAAUGAGAAAUAGGGAAAGGAUGAAGUUGACUAUUCAAGCUCAACACUACGAGCCAGCUUUUAAAAGAUGAAAGCAACCGUCGCAGCGCUCUCGACCAUAUCAGUUGGCGAUGGAUUCACAAUCAUCUCCCGCAAAAGGAAUCUAAUUCCUGCAGUACCGCAUUGACUCAUUCCAGGAAUCCAUUUAGCAUGAAUCCAAGGAGCACAACCAGUGAAGCAGACGACACAACCGCAGCUCUGAUUGACAUGAAAGCCCUUCUCCUUUCUGGUCCUUUGAUCCUCUCUCUUUAAUGGGCUCUUGUUCCUUGACACUCACAGCUAUUAUGCCUCUGGUAUUUGGAGCGGCGGCGAAGGCUGCAAUUCCUUUGAAGUCUUUCUCCUCCCUCUACCCCCCACCAGACGGAGCGCAAGACCACAAUAAAAUCUAAAAUUAAAAAACAUUACUCGAGCAACGAACAAAUUCACAACCAAGUCUCGACCAAGGCAGCCGACAUUGCUGUAUCAUGUUUGUCUUCUGCUUUUUUUCAAACACAACCAUAUUGUCCCCUUGCUCCAUUUCGGGUCUCAUCUGCAAGCGGAGCAGUAGUUGUGCCAACUUUCGGACUCGCAUGAGUCCAAUCCUCAGCAGGUCAGCUGUAAAAGAAUCAACCAACGCCGAGUGAACGCACCCAUAAAAGUCGAGUCGUAGCUUGUGGAAUUAAAUGUCUUUAACAGGUUCCUCCUCCCAACUUGUGUGACCUUUCCCACCUACUCAUGUAUGUACAUUCGUGGCAUGUAGAGGGGACACUAGUGCGCAGGUCGCAGGCGAGUUAGGCGACGGGCGAGUAGGUACGAAGUCGAUCCCAAAGUUGGGCUCUGCAAUCGCCAUGGCGUGCGCGUACAGGUUUCCCAGCUCUCUGUGCACAACGAAGUGAGAAGCUUGCAUACG
RNAcentral lists this long non-coding RNA (1877 nucleotides) under Physcomitrium patens. Its description in RNAcentral is "long non-coding RNA (PPAT_LNC010579)". The record is from RNAcentral. Lineage: Eukaryota; Viridiplantae; Streptophyta; Bryopsida; Funariales; Funariaceae.